GACAAUAUUUUGUUUCCUUUUUUAAAAGAUAUCGAAUAUAAAAUAAAGCAAUCCUAUUGGUUGGUGAACCUAGAGGUUCACCCUAGGGGGUGGACCUAAGAAUAAGUCUUUUAAAAAAAAAAUCAAAAAUACAAAAACAUGAAAGAAAAGAGAGGCAAGAUCGCAUGCGAGAAGCUCUGACACACUUAUAAGAAACCCAUAUCACCACAUGUCUUUCAUCUAUUGGAUUAACUUUAACAAAUAAAACAAAAAUUAAACUUUAAAUAAAAAUAGAUAGAUUAAACUAAUAAUAUUUUUUGGUCAGAGAUACCUAAAUUCAAGAUCAACCGAUAAGGUUCCUCUAAGAAUUUAAAAAUAAGAACCAAACAGUUAUAAGAGCAUCUCCAAUUCAUUGCUAUUUUCACCUCUAUAAUAGCAUUUAGAGGUAAAAUUGAUCCAACCCACCUCUAUUUCUUUCUCUAUAAUAGAGAUCUCUAUAUUUUCCUCUAUUUAUAGAGAAAGAAAUAGCAUUCCUCUAUUUUUUACUCUAUAAUUGAAGAUUGCUAUUAUAGAGAAAUACAUUGGAGCAUAUCUCACUUCUAUUAUAGAGUUCUUCUAUUUUAGAGGUGAAAAUAACAAAAUACAUUGGAGAUGGUCUAAGAAGAUUCAGCAGGUUAAUGGAUAAGGAAGAUUCAGCAGGUUAAUGGAUAAGGAUCAAAGAAUGUGAAAGCCUUUUGAAAAGAAAAGGAUGAAUCAUGUGAAUCUAACACUAUUUCAUUUAAAAAAUGUUACUCUCACUCACGUUAUAUAUCUUAAUUUAUCUUCAUCUCUUCAUAACAUAUUCAACCAUUCAGAAGAGUUUUUAUAUGAGAACCCAAAUCAUAACUAAAAUUUUCAAAUGAAAUUGGUAUCUUUAGUCGCGAUUCUUCUUCUCCAUCUCUUUGUUAGUAUUAAUAGUUUCCGACUGGAUUGUUGUAGAUGUGGCAAGUGGGUCAAGCAUACCGGACUGCUCGCACGCAUGUGGAUCAUGUACACCAUGCAAGCUCGUUGUGGUCAGUUCCAAGUGCUCGGCAUCAGAGUCCGAGGCUUGUCCUGUCGUCUACAAGUGCUUGUGCAAAGGAAAAUACUAUCACGUGCCUUCUAUCGCCUAACCCCUUUACGUUAUCAUAAGCUUAAGAGAUAUUAAGAUGGUCUGUUGUUGCUUAUUGUCUCAAGUUAGGUGUAGUUGAUUUGUAAUGCCUGUAAUAAAAACCAAGAUUAGGUCAUUUAACAUAGAAACUAAAAAGGAACAAACUAAACGGCCGGAAAAAUAUAGCACAACAAGUGAUGAAUGUAAAAUCGUUUGAAGAGAACUCAGACGAUAAGGUGGCCAUUAACACACUGAUACUUAUCUAAAAUGAAGUACAGUUCAUUCGAAUA
This is an RNA transcript of Brassica rapa (field mustard), 1398 nucleotides long. It is a transcript of the gene named EPIDERMAL PATTERNING FACTOR-like protein 7, with no coding region annotated. NCBI's taxonomy places the organism in Eukaryota, Viridiplantae, Streptophyta, Magnoliopsida, Brassicales, Brassicaceae. The record is from RefSeq and is a predicted model, not a curated record.